Molecule: ribosomal RNA, 254 nt
Filed under: uncultured bacterium
Lineage: Bacteria
Description: partial 16S ribosomal RNA
Rfam family: Bacterial small subunit ribosomal RNA
Source: RNAcentral
UACGUAGGGUCCAAGCGUUAUCCGGAAUCACUGGGCGUAAAGCGUGCGUAGGCGGAGAUUUGCGUGAGAUGCGAAAUCCGGUGGCUCAACCAUCUGGACUGUAUCUCAUACGGGAUUUCUAGAGGACGGCAGAGGCAAGUGGAAUUACGGGUGUAGCAGUGAAAUGCGUAGAGAUCCGUAGGAACACCAAUGGCGAAGGCAGCUUGCUGGGCCGUACCUGACGCUAAGGCACGAAAGCGUGGGGAGCGAACAGG